CAAGCAGGCGGCCCUGCAAGUCAGAUGUGAAAUCCCUCGGCUCAACCGAGGAACUGCAUCUGAAACUGCAGGGCUUGAGUUCGGGAGAGGUGAGCGGAAUUCCCGGUGUAGCGGUGAAAUGCGUUGAUAUCGGGAGGAACGUCGGUGGCGAAGGCGGCUCACUGGACCGAUACUGACGCUCAGAGGCGAAAGCGUAGGGGAGCGAACG
RNAcentral lists this ribosomal RNA (208 nucleotides) under uncultured bacterium. RNAcentral describes it as "partial 16S ribosomal RNA". It matches the Rfam family "Bacterial small subunit ribosomal RNA", at positions 568 to 774 of the family's 1533-position model. The record is from RNAcentral.